GGUUUUAUAGUUUAGUAAAAAUAUUAAAUUGCAAAUUUAAAGUUGAUAAAAUUAUCUAAGACUU
This 64-nucleotide transfer RNA is filed under the name Exitianus indicus. RNAcentral describes it as "tRNA-Cys". It matches the Rfam family "tRNA". Rfam says of the family: Transfer RNA (tRNA) molecules are approximately 80 nucleotides in length. Their secondary structure includes four short double-helical elements and three loops (D, anti-codon, and T loops). Further hydrogen bonds mediate the characteristic L-shaped molecular structure. tRNAs have two regions of fundamental functional importance: the anti-codon, which is responsible for specific mRNA codon recognition, and the 3' end, to which the tRNAs corresponding amino acid is attached (by aminoacyl-tRNA synthetases). tRNAs cope with the degeneracy of the genetic code in two manners: having more than one tRNA (with a specific anti-codon) for a particular amino acid; and 'wobble' base-pairing, i.e. permitting non-standard base-pairing at the 3rd anti-codon position. Lineage: Eukaryota; Metazoa; Arthropoda; Insecta; Hemiptera; Cicadellidae. The record is from RNAcentral.